UGCCAGGUGCGAGGUGGGCGAUAAGUCAGUGGAGGUCGUUAGUGGAAAAAAAAACAAGUGUCUGGCUCGGCACCUGUGGCUCAAGCGGCUAAGGCGCCAGCCACAUACACCUGAGCUGGCGGGUUCAAAUCCAGCCCGGGCCCGCCAAACAACAAUGACAGCUGCAACCAAAACAUAGCCGGGCGUUGUGGCAGGCGCCUGUACUCCCAGCUACUUCGGAGGCAGAGGCAGGAGAAUCGCUUGAGCCCAGGAGUUUGAGGUUGCUAUGAUGCCACAGCACUCUACCCAGGGUGACAGCUUGAGGCUCUUUUUUUUUUGUUUGUUUCCAAAAAAAAAAAAAAAAAAACCCAAGUGUCCAAUGUGUGCCACGCACUGUUUUAGGUCCUUGGGAAACUACAGAGAACAAGACCCUUGUCUCGUGGAGUGAACGUCUGGUUGGUGUCGGAAAGCGGAGUACCGGUGUGAUCAGCAUUGGAAAAGAUGCCUGCCCCAGCUACCACAUAUGAAAGAAUAGUUUACAAAAAUCCUUCUGAGCACCACUACAUGAAAGUUUGCCUAGAAUUUCAAGAUCAUGGAGUUGGACUGAAUGCUGCACAGUUCAAACAUCUGCUAAUUUCAGCCCUGAAAGACCUGUUUGGAGAGGUUGAUGCUGCCUUACCCUUGGACAUCCUAACCUAUGAAGAAAAGACUUUGUCAGCCAUCUUGAGAAUAUGUAGCAGUGGUCUUGUCAAAUUGUGGAGCUCUUUGACCCUAUUGGGAUCCUACAAAGGCAAAAAAUGUGCUUUCAGAGUGAUUCAGGUUUCUCCAUUUCUCCUUGCAUUAUCUGGUAAUAGUAGGGAACUAGUAUUGGACUGAAUAGCCUGCAAUUUCAGAAACAUUUCUUCACUCCAAAAAACAUUUUUUGGUCCCUGCAUGAUGUUUGAAGACUGAAGCAGGAGACAGAGUCUCACUUUACCGCCCUCGAUAGAGUGCCAUGAUGUCACAGGAUUCACAGCAACCUCCAGCUCUUGGGCUUAGGCGAUUCUCCUGUUCCAACUUUGUGAAGUUAAUGUCUUGUUUUAUAAACAAGCAAGGAAACAGACAUGCUGUGUGACUUGUUAACAUGCAGUGCACCUGGGAUUAAAACUUGGGGCUACCUGGCUUUUUCCAUCAUCUUGUGGGUCUUGUUUCUUAUAGGAGUCAAAGGAAAAUUUCCCCUCUGUCCUCUGAAUACUAGCUAAAAACUGACAGAAAGCAAAUUAACUGGAGAAAAAGUGUACAAGUUUAUUAAUGAGAACCACAGUUACUACCCCAAACACCUUAAUGGGGUUGAGAAUCUUUUAUACCAUCUUGAGACUUCACAAAGAAUAAGGGCUUGAAUUGAGGUUAUGAAAGUGAUGAAGAUGAGGCCUCCCUGGUGAACGUGGUCUUGUUACAUAAAUGAAACCUCACUGCUAGCAGCCCCCAAAGAGAAUAUAUGGUAAAUAUUUGUCAGACCUUUAAAGAUGUCAGACUCAUAGUUAACCUUCCCUAGAUCUGGAAUGCAGAUUCUCUACAGAUGCAAAUCUCCCCACAAAAAAAAACAGUUUUGCAGGGCUACUUUUGUUUUCUGACUCUGAACCCCUUUAUUGAAAUAUGUCAAGGAGGGCACCACCUGUGGCUCAUUGGGUAGGGCACGACCCCAUAUGCCAAGGGUGGCAGGUUCGAACCCAGCCCCAGCCAAACUGCAACAAAAAAUAGCCAAGCAUUUUGGCGGGCCCCGGUAGUCCAGCUACUCUGGAGGCUGAGGCAAGAGAAUCGCCUAAGUCCCAGAGUUUGAGGUUGCUGUGAGCUUGUGACGUCAUAGCACUCUACCAAGGGUGAUUAAGUGAGACUCUUGUUUCUACGAGUGCCGCCCUUUCAAUAUAUGUCAAGGAAAGAUACUUAGGGGUGAAAUAUUUUUAUUUUCUUCAUUCCAAUUAGUGGAACAAUGUCAGUUUCUAUAAUAGCAUCUUUUUAUACGGCAUUAACACAAUUGGAAUCAUUCUAUAGAGUUUUUUUAUGAUCAGAAAGUUCAUCUCGGGCGGCCCCUGUGGCUCAGUCGGUAGGGCGCUGGCCCCAUAUACCGAGGGUGGUGGGUUCAAACCCGGCCCCAGCCAAACGGCAACAACAACAACAAAAAAAUAGCUGGGCGUUGUGGCGGGCGCCUGUAGUCCCAGCUACUCGGGAGGCUGAGGCAAGAGAAUUGCUUAAGCCCAGGAGUUGGAGGUUGCUGUGAGCUGUGUGAGGCCACAGCACUCUACCGAGGGCCAUAAAGUGAGACUGUGUCUCUUAAAAAAAAAAAAAAAAAGAAAGUUCAUCUUCUCUGCUAGAGUUGUAGGAUUUUCCUGUAUACAAUUAGUUGAUGGCGUCCACUCAUGCACAUCAUCUCCACUUUUUCUAGGAGAAAAGUGAUUAUGUGUCUUCAGAACAGAAGUGCUAAAAGGGUUAGUCUAAAGAUAAAAAGUUAUGUGUGGGCCAGGUACAGUGGCUCACGCCUGUAAUUCCAGCACUCUGGGAGGCUGAGGUAGGUGGAUUGCUUAAGGUCAGGAAUUUAAGACCUGAGCAAUAGCAAGACCCGGUCCCUACUAAAAAUGGAGAAAUUAGCCAGGUGUUGUGGCAGGCAGCUGUAUCCAACUACUCAGGAGGCAGAGGCAAGAGGAUUGCUCAAACACCUGCCUAAUUUAUUUUUUGUAGAGAUAGAGUCUCAGGAGUUUGAGACUGCUGUAAGUUAUGUUUGUUUUGUUUUUUUUUUUUGAGACAGAGCCUCAAGCUGUCGCCCUAGGUAGAGUGCUAUGGCAUCACAGCUCACUGCAACCUCCAACUCCUGGGCUCAAGCGAGUCUCUGCCUCCGCCUCCCAAGUAGCUGGGAUUACAUGUGCUCACCACAACGGCCGGCUUUUUUUUUUUUUUUGGUUGCAGCCAUCGUUGUUUGGAUGGCCUAGGCUGGAUUCGAACCCGCCAGCUCAGGUGUAUGUGGCUGGUGCCUUAGUGGCUUGAGCCACAGGUGCUGAGCCUGCUGUAAGUUAUGAUGCCAUUACAUUCUACGCAGGGUGACAGUGUGAGACUGUCUCAAAAAAGAAAAAGUUAUGUGUGGGCCAACUAUGGUGUUGGGGAAGCAUAUCAGAUCUGGCUGAUUUAUACUGUGUAACUUUCAAAAGUAGCUUCUCAGUGUGAGCAUUUUCACAUUUCUUGUACUCCGUAAGAAUCAUGGUGUUUAAUUCCUGUAAAUCAAUAAGCUAAGCAGUUGGAAUAAAAAAGUAGGUAAAAAGUUACGAAUACUUCUCUUUGACAACUUGUUUUCUCCCAAAGCCAAGAUUUCCACACUGCUCCAGAGUGACUUCAAAUGAAGGCUUGGGUAACCCUAAAAUUAGAAAAUCUCUCCCAAAUAAUUGAGAGGUGGUCUUGACUGCUCCAGGUCAUGUGUGGGAGUACAAAAGUAAUGACAUUUCAGGCCAAACUG
Nycticebus coucang (slow loris) is the source of this 3460-nucleotide RNA transcript. It is a transcript of the gene named ribonuclease P/MRP subunit p14, with no coding region annotated. The record is from RefSeq and is a predicted model, not a curated record. Lineage: Eukaryota; Metazoa; Chordata; Mammalia; Primates; Lorisidae. The transcript is spliced from 8 exons.